UGGGCGCAAGCCUGAUGCAGCCAUGCCGCGUGUGUGAAGAAGGCCUUCGGGUUGUAAAGCACUUUCAGUCGUGAGGAAGGUAGUGUAGUUAAUAGCUGCAUUAUUUGACGUUAGCGACAGAAGAAGCACCGGCUAACUCCGUGCCAGCAGCCGCGGUAAUACGGAGGGUGCGAGCGUUAAUCGGAAUUACUGGGCGUAAAGCGCAUGCAGGUGGUUUGUUAAGUCAGAUGUGAAAGCCCGGGGCUCAACCUCGGAAUAGCAUUUGAAACUGGCAGACUAGAGUACUGUAGAGGGGGGUAGAAUUUCAGGUGUAGCGGUGAAAUGCGUAGAGAUCUGAAGGAAUACCGGUGGCGAAGGCGGCCCCCUGGACAGAUACUGACACUCAGAUGCGAAAGCGUGGGGAGCAAACAGGAUUAGAUACCCUGGUAGUCCACGCCGUAAACGAUGUCUACUUGGAGGUUGUGGCCUUGAGCCGUGGCUUUCGGAGCUAACGCGUUAAGUAGACCGCCUGGGGA
Molecule: ribosomal RNA, 515 nt
Filed under: Vibrio sp. QPM_1_250
Lineage: Bacteria; Pseudomonadati; Pseudomonadota; Gammaproteobacteria; Vibrionales; Vibrionaceae
Description: bacterial SSU rRNA
Rfam family: Bacterial small subunit ribosomal RNA
Source: RNAcentral